This 393-nucleotide ribosomal RNA is filed under the name uncultured bacterium. RNAcentral's name for it is "partial 16S ribosomal RNA". It matches the Rfam family "Bacterial small subunit ribosomal RNA", at positions 523 to 918 of the family's 1533-position model. The record is from RNAcentral.
AUACGGAGGAUGCGAGCGUUAUCCGGAUUUAUUGGGUUUAAAGGGUGCGUAGGCUGUGCGUUAAGUCAGGGGUGAAAUGCCGUCGCUCAACGACGGAGCUGCCCUUGAUACUGGCGUGCUGGAGUACGGAUGCCGUUGGAGGAAUGAGUGGUGUAGCGGUGAAAUGCUUAGAUAUCACUCAGAACACCGAUUGCGAAGGCAUCUGACGAAUCCGUCACUGACGCCGAGGCACGAAAGCGUGGGGAUAGAACAGGAUUAGAUACCCUGGUAUUCCACGCCGUAAACGAUGAUGACUAACCGUCGGCGAUAGACAGCCGGUGGCCAAGCGAAAGCGAUAAGUCAUCCACCUGGGGAGUACGUCGGCAACGAUGAAACUCAAAGGAAUUGACGGGG